GGACCCGCACAAGCAGUGGAGCAUGUGGUUUAAUUCGACGCAACGCGAAGAACCUUACCAGCGUUUGACAUGAGAAGUGCCGGUUACAGAAUGGUAACCUUCAGUUCGGCUGGCUUCUACACAGGUGCUGCAUGGCUGUCGUCAGCUCGUGUCGUGAGAUGUUGGUUAAGUCCCGCAACGAGCGCAACCCUUAUCGUUAGUUACUAACAGUUCGGCUGAGGACUCUAGCGAAACUGCCGGUGAUAAGCCGGAGGAAGGUGGGGAUGACGUCAAGUCCUCAUGGCCCUUACACGCUGGGCUACACACGUGCUACAAUGGUAACUACAACGGGACGCAAUACCGCGAGGUGGAGCA
This 354-nucleotide ribosomal RNA is filed under the name uncultured bacterium. Its description in RNAcentral is "bacterial SSU rRNA". It matches the Rfam family "Bacterial small subunit ribosomal RNA", at positions 917 to 1269 of the family's 1533-position model. The record is from RNAcentral.